This 332-nucleotide ribosomal RNA is filed under the name uncultured eukaryote. RNAcentral describes it as "partial 18S ribosomal RNA". It matches the Rfam family "Eukaryotic small subunit ribosomal RNA", at positions 592 to 976 of the family's 1831-position model. The record is from RNAcentral.
CAAUAGCGUAUAUUAAAGUUGUUGCAGUUAAAAAGCUCGUAGUUGAAUUUCGGGUCCCCGCGCUCGGCGCUUCAUUGUGCCGUCGUGGUGUCCCUCCUCGCCGUAAGGCGUCCUUUACUGUGAAAAAAUUAGAGUGUUCAAAGCAGGCAAUCGCUUGAAUACAUUAGCAUGGGAUAAUAAGAUAGGAUCUUGUCUAUUUUGUUGGUUGCGGACAACGAUAAUGAUUAAUAGGGAUAGUUGGGGGUGUCCGUAUUGAGCUGUCAGAGGUGAAAUUCUUGGAUUUGCUCAAGACGAACUACUGCGAAAGCAUUCACCAAGGAUGUUUUCAUUAA